AAAAGACUUAGUCCUAACCUUACCGUUGGUUGUUGCCAGGUUUAUACAUGCGAGUAUCCGCGCUCCAGUGUAGACGCCCUGGGUACCCUAAUCUAGGUCGACAGGAGCAGGCAUCAGGCACACCCACAACGUAGCCCAAAACGCCUUGCAAUUGCCACGCCCCCACGGGUUUUCAGCAGUAGUUAACAUUAAGCAAUGAGUGUAAACUUGACUUAGCCAUGGCAAAUCUAGGGUCGGUAAAUCCUGUGCCAGCCACCGCGGUCAUACAGGAGACCCAAGUCAACGUUAUAACGGCGUAAAGUGUGGUCACAUGUUAUCUAAAGUAGCUAAGAUUAAAAGGCAACUGAGCUGUCGCAAGCCCAAGAUGCCCAUAAGGCCGCUACCAAAGAAAAUCUUAGACAAACGAUCUAUUGAAGCCCACGAAAGCCAGGGCCCAAACUGGGAUUAGAUACCCCACUAUGCCUGGCCCUAAAUCUUGAUGCUCGAUCUUACCGGAGCAUCCGCCCGAGAACUACGAGCACAAACGCUUAAAACUCUAAGGACUUGGCGGUGUUCCAAACCCACCUAGAGGAGCCUGUUCUGUAAUCGAUGAUCCACGAUAUACCUAACCAUUUCUUGCCAAAGCAGCCUAUAUACCGCCGUCGCCAGCCCACCCAGCAUGAAGGACCAACAGUGGACGCAAUAGCCUUACCCCGCUAAUAAGACAGGUCAAGGUAUAGCCUAUGGAAUGGGAGCAAUGGGCUACAUUUUCUAGACUAGAACAUACGGCAAAGGGAUAUGAAACUGUCCCUGGAAGGCGGAUUUAGCAGUAAAGUGGGACAAUCGAGCCCUCUUUAAGCCGGCCCUGGAACACGUACACACCGCCCGUCACCCUCCUCAAAAGCGACCCCCCCCCCCCAUACCUAAUAAGCUAAGCAGCCAAAGAGGAGGUAAGUCGUAACA
Molecule: non-coding RNA, 942 nt
Filed under: Rhadina sibilatrix
Lineage: Eukaryota; Metazoa; Chordata; Aves; Passeriformes; Phylloscopidae
Description: 12S ribosomal RNA
Rfam family: Bacterial small subunit ribosomal RNA
Source: RNAcentral